Molecule: ribosomal RNA, 935 nt
Filed under: Ocellularia sp. Lumbsch 19161d
Lineage: Eukaryota; Fungi; Ascomycota; Lecanoromycetes; Ostropales; Graphidaceae
Description: eukaryotic LSU rRNA
Rfam family: Eukaryotic large subunit ribosomal RNA
Source: RNAcentral
UUGUAAUUUGUAGAAGGCGCUUCGGGCGCCUCCCCGGCCCAAGUCCCUUGGAACAGGGCGUCGCAGAGGGUGAGAAUCCCGUACGCGGCCGGUGGACAGCCCGUGUGAAGCCCUUUCGACGAGUCGAGUUGUUUGGGAAUGCAGCUCUAAACGGGUGGUAAAUUUCAUCUAAAGCUAAAUAUCUGCCGGAGACCGAUAGCGCACAAGUAGAGUGAUCGAAAGAUGAAAAGCACUUUGAAAAGAGAGUCAAACAGUACGUGAAAUUGUUGAAAGGGAAGCGCUUGCAACCAGACUCGGUCGCGGGUGCUCAGCCGUCCCUCGGGGCGGUGCACUCUCCCGCGCUUCGGGCCAGCAUCGGUUCUGGCGGCCGGACGAAGGCCCCGGGAACGUAGCUCUCUUCGGGGAGUGUUACAGCCCGGGGUGCAAUGUGGCCAGCCGGGACCGAGGACCGCGCAUCUGCCAGGAUGCUGGCGUAAUGGUUGCCAGCGACCCGUCUUGAAACACGGACCAAGGAGUCGACCAAUCGGGCGAGUUUUAGGGCGUUAAACCCUGAAGCGCAAUGAAAGUGAACGCAGGUGGGAACCCUCGGGUGCACCAUCGACCGAUCCUGAUGUCUUCGGAUGGAUUUGAGUACGAGCCCGGCUGGUCGGACCCGAAAGAUGGUGAACUAUGCGUGAAUAGGGUGAAGCCAGAGGAAACUCUGGUGGAGGCUCGCAGCGGUUCUGACGUGCAAAUCGAUCGUCAAAUUUGCGCAUAGGGGCGAAAGACCAAUCGAAUCAUCUAGUAGCUGGUUCCCGUCGAAGUUUCCCUCAGGAUAGCAGCAACGAAAACAGUCUCAUGAGGUAGAGCAAACGAUUAGAGGUCUUGGGAUUAAAAUUAAUCUUAACCUAUUCUCGAACUUCGAAUAUGUGAGAAGUCCUUGUUACUCAGUUGAA